CAUAUCAAGCAAAAAGCAAGAUAAACAAGAUUUCAGGUAUCUCGAUCCUUGAGUGUUCCAUGUUCGCUAACUUCCCUGCUUUUGAUCCAUUAAGACUCACGAUUGGUUUCCAACAACUUGGUUUGUCUGGAUAUGAAGCAGAUGAAAUUCUGUACAAAAAUCAUAAUAUCGUUUGUGAACUUGUUGGGAACCAAUCCAUUACAUUUGUCAUUAACUUUGGAACAUCUGAAGACGAUAUUGAGAGACUGGUUUCAGGGAUUGAGGAUGUGAGCUCUUCCACAUCGAUUCUGAGAAUCGAAGGAAGAAGCAAACUAAGUGUUUCUGCACCCUUUCCUAAUGUCAAAAUCAGCUUGAAUCCUAGAGAUGCCUUCUUUAUGAAAAAAAGAAGAGAGAACAUUAAAGAAUGUGUUGGAAAGGUGUGUGGAGAGUUAAUAUCCCCAUACCCUCCAGGAAUACCAGUAAUGAUCCCAGGUGAGAUUAUAUCUGAGGAAGCUGUGGAUUAUCUGUUGCAUUUAAAAGGCAAAGUUGCCUCAAUUAGCGGUGCAUCUGAUCCUAAACUAUCUUCACUACUUGUAUGCAAUGUGUAAGAGACUGCAAAACGAUUUGUUAUGUCUCUGCUUGAACUGGUUUCAAUGGUUUGAGUAAUGUGUAACAUUAUGAUAAUGGCUUAUUUGGAUUUUGUGCCAUCUAAAAAUUUAGUUCCAUUUUGAAAACCAAAAUAAUUUGUGAGAACAGCAAAUUAAUGCCAUUAUUAUUAUUACUUCUUUUAUGAACAAGCAACUAAAGACCAAAAUGAGUUAUGACCUAACCACAUAUAUCAUCCUUUAGGAGAAUGAAAGUUUUGAAUGGCAACAUCCAUAUGUUAUCGAACUAGAAAAAAGGACACAAGAAAAUUCAAAAGCUGAUAUGUGCACAGCCCUUGAUCUAUGCUCAAGGGUGAUUCUAAAAUGCUAAAAUUCAUUUCCAAAAUCACUAAAAAAAAUAUGCAAAAUCAAUUUUAGCAGUACAAAAAGUGCAUUUAAAAGUGUGAAUGUAAACAUUAAAUUAAUUUUGAGUUUGAAGUAAUUUUAAACAUGCAGAAGUGUUAAAUUCACAAACAUCUCAGACUUUUGACAAUAAUAUUUUAUCUAGUAUGCAUCUUAAUUCUGAAAUAUGCAAUGAUUCCUGAAGGGGUGAGUGUUCUCCAUUAUUCAUCCAUAGCUAUAGACACAGAAGUUCUAUUUCCUCCAAUGAAGGUUUCUACGAACAACGGCAGUAUUAUUUCCAAUAGACAGUAAAACAGAUAUCAUCAUGCAUGAUCCUCCAAAAUCACAAGAAAAAACAUCUCAUAGGAUUACCAAGAAAUCUAAAGUUAUCAGAUUUUAACUCGUCAUCCACACAUAAUGAUGAAAAGGUAAUAACAGAAAUUCCUUACUUUUUGUUUUAUUACUACGACAUCCCAACAAAAGAUGCUAUCACAUUUUCUAGUCCAAUAAAUGUGAGGAUGGAGUCAGGACACAAACAUCCAACCGCAUAGAAAGGAGUAGAUUCCUUAACCACUAAACUAAGCAAUGCUCAAGUUUAAAAACCAUUUCUAAUUCUUCAUACCCGUCAUUUCUUAUCUUGAUUUCAAACUAUUGAGAAGAAAUUGAUUUUAUCUCAACCAGUGAAUGAAUAAGAGGAUUUUUACCAUCUACCCCCUCUUGGAUGUAGGAUCAGCCUGUGUGUUUCCCCCUUCCUUUGCACGCUUUCUUUAGGUACUGGAAGUUUUACACAGAUAGAACGUUAGAUAACAUGGGUUCCAUCUCGAUACCAAUUUAAAAGAGUAGCCUAUGUAGAUAAACAUUUCGAAAUCCCUCAAUUGUUUUUCAUAGAGGAAUCCUCAACGUAGAUGAUUUAAAACACAUAACUUCCAGCAAGUAGAUGCGGCAAUUCAAUGGAACAAGUAUCUAAGCAGUAAACUGAAAAGCAAACCAAAUUAUCCUAUAAAAAUGAAAGAAUCGCCGACGAAAUGCUCCAAUUUAGUUAUGCUUAAGAUUUACUCUAGGAAUACACCAAUCCUCUAUAAAUACGUUCUUGUGAGCUUCCAUUCCUCCGCCCAUUGCCGCUCUCUAACUCUGAAGUUUAUCUCUUCACUUAGCCUUGUGGAAGUCCCACAAAUAUAACUAAAAUAUUUAUAAAUUAUAAAUAAAAUAUAUAUAUCAAAGUACUUUCCAAAAAAGAUAUUAAAUGUAAUUCCUUGAUGUUAAAAAAUGCUUUUGAAAAAAAAAUAUCAAAUUCAAAUUUAUUAAAAUUGCAAGGACUAAAUGUAAAUAUUUGAAAGUAACUAAAAUUAGUAUUUUAACUAUCAAUAAAUGGACUAUAGUUUAUUUAUUUAAGAAAAUCUUUAGUUCCAAUUUGAUCUUUAAAAAGAAAUUAAGAACCACUUUUCUGAUAUAGGAAACCAAUACCCGAACCUAGUGGCAGAUCCCAAAUUU
Molecule: long non-coding RNA, 2456 nt
Filed under: Cucumis sativus (cucumber)
Lineage: Eukaryota; Viridiplantae; Streptophyta; Magnoliopsida; Cucurbitales; Cucurbitaceae
Description: long non-coding RNA (CSAT_LNC000054)
Source: RNAcentral